Molecule: ribosomal RNA, 460 nt
Filed under: uncultured bacterium
Lineage: Bacteria
Description: partial 16S ribosomal RNA
Rfam family: Bacterial small subunit ribosomal RNA
Source: RNAcentral
CCUACGGGCGGCUGCAGUGAGGAAUAUUGGUCAAUGGGCGUAAGCCUGAACCAGCCAAGUCGCGUGAGGGAUGAAGGUUCUAUGGACCGUAAACCUCUUUUAUAAGGGAAUAAAGUGCGGGACGUGUCCCGUUUUGUAUGUACCUUAUGAAUAAGGAACGGCGAACUCCGUGCCAGCAGCCGCGGUAAUACGGAGGAUCCGGGCGUUAACCGGAUUUAGUGGGUUUAAAGGGUGCGUAGGCGGCCUUUUAAGUCAACGGUGAAAGUCUGUGGAUCAACCAUAGAAUUGCCGUUGAAACUGGGAGACUUGAGUGUGUUUGAGGCAUGGGGAAUGCGUGGUGUAGCGGUGAAAUGCUUAGAUAUCACGCAGAACCCCAGUUGCGAAGGCGGCCUGCCAAGCCAUGACUGACGCUGAUGCACGAAAGCGUGGGUAUCAAACAGGAUUAGAUACCCUGGUAGUC